MicroRNA precursor from Medicago truncatula (barrel medic), 202 nucleotides. It matches the Rfam family "MIR2670 microRNA precursor family". Lineage: Eukaryota; Viridiplantae; Streptophyta; Magnoliopsida; Fabales; Fabaceae. The record is from Rfam.
UUGGGGUAAAAUAGUGAGUAGCCGAUUUGGUGAAGUGAUCAACCAUUCUGAUAAGUUUAAAUCUGUUUUUUUUUACUCCUGAAACUUUUUACCAUGGGUAAAAGGAUUUUUCUUGGGGUAUAAAAAAAAAACCAGAUUUAAAUUUAGCCCAAGGGUUGAUGAGGUAUUUUCCUCAAGAAGGUUGCUCACUAUUUUACCCCAA